AUACAUUUCUCGGCCUUUUGGCUAAGAUCAAGUGUAAUAUUUGUUCUUAUUAGUUUAAUAUUUGAUAUGCUGGUCAUCGCCCCACUUGAGCAUCCACCGGCAUCACUUGUGUGUUGUAUGUGUUUUAAUUUGUAUGUAUGCCGAAAUACAAAACGUAAAACAAACAAA
Helianthus annuus (common sunflower) is the source of this 168-nucleotide non-coding RNA. The record is from Rfam. NCBI's taxonomy places the organism in Eukaryota, Viridiplantae, Streptophyta, Magnoliopsida, Asterales, Asteraceae.